Molecule: long non-coding RNA, 288 nt
Filed under: Citrus sinensis (sweet orange)
Lineage: Eukaryota; Viridiplantae; Streptophyta; Magnoliopsida; Sapindales; Rutaceae
Description: long non-coding RNA (CSIN_LNC005588)
Source: RNAcentral
AGAACAGAAGGGCUUCAACUUCUAGGAACAAAAAAAAUUGCCGGUGGGACAAAAAUUGACAUUAAUGGCUACAAUACGAAUUAAAGAAAUCAAAACCUAUAAUUACAAGCUAAGAAAGAGAAGAAACUCAUAAUCACAAGCUUACCUGAAACGAUGAGAGAGAGAAUAAGAUGAAGAAGAAGAUCGCUGCCGUUUUACGCCAUUCUCCGGCUACCAGUAAGGUUUAGGAUGGCCAGGCACGCACGGGAGAGAAUUUGGGACUUUGGUUUUCAAAAUAUUGACUUCAGC